CGUACGAGAACUCUUUAGCUUGCUAAGGAUAGUAAAGUGGCGCACGGGUGAGUAACGCGUGAGUAAUCUACCCUGGAAAUCGGGAUAACUUCGCGAAAGYGAUGCUAAUACCGAAUGAUAUYUAACUUGCUUYGGGUUUUKAAAUCAAAGGUGGCCUCUAUUUGUAAGCUACUGUUUGGAGAUGAGCUCGCGUACCAUUAGCUUGUUGGUAGGGUAAUGGCCUACCAAGGCUACGAUGGUUAGCUGGUUUGAGAGGAUGAUCAGCCACACUGGAACUGACACACGGUCCAGACUCCUACGGGAGGCAGCAGUGAGGAAUUUUGCGCAAUGGGGGAAACCCUGACGCAGCAACGCCGCGUGAGUGAUGAAGGCUUUCGGGUCGUAAAGCUCUGUCAAGUGGGAAGAAAAAGAAAAAUGAUAAUAUGAUUUUUCWCUGACGGUACCACUAAAGGAAGCACCGGCUAACUCCGUGCCAGCAGCCGCGGUAAUACGGGGGGUGCAAGCGUUAUUCGGAAUUAUUGGGCGUAAAGGGCGCGCAGGCGGUCUUUUAAGUCAGAUGUGAAAGCCCGGGGCUUAACCUCGGAAGUGCAUUUGAAACUGAAUGACUUGAGUAUGGGAGAGGGAAGUGGA
This 630-nucleotide ribosomal RNA is filed under the name uncultured delta proteobacterium. Its description in RNAcentral is "bacterial SSU rRNA". It matches the Rfam family "Bacterial small subunit ribosomal RNA", at positions 63 to 665 of the family's 1533-position model. The record is from RNAcentral. Lineage: Bacteria; Deltaproteobacteria.